This 2094-nucleotide long non-coding RNA is filed under the name Anser cygnoides (Swan goose). RNAcentral describes it as "lncRNA (ENSACDG00005011897.1)". The record is from RNAcentral. Lineage: Eukaryota; Metazoa; Chordata; Aves; Anseriformes; Anatidae.
CGGCCCGCCCGGCCUCGCAGCCGGGCCCCCGCCGCCCCCUUCCCUGCCCCGGGCCCCUGAGGGGGUUUUGGGGCGCCCCGGGGGGGGGGCGAGCUGCUCGACGACCCCCUCCUCGGGCAGGGCACGGGGCACGGGCACGGCCCCUCUUCGGGGACCCGAGAGGGUCCGUGUGUGGGGACCCCGCUGGCACCACGGGAAAGCGGGGCGCAGCGGGGUUUUUCCACAAGAACCUGUGGAAAUGGGGCUUCGUGCCAAAGCGGGGCGCGGGCUGCAGCCCGAUGGAUGGACCAAAGUGCUGGCCAUGGACGGAGGGGCGGUACAUGGGGUGAAGGGAGGUGGAAAUGCCUCAGCACGAACACCUGGCCUUGUGGUGUUAGCUGGGUCUGAAUUUCUGAGGCCACUGGUAGUGCCGGGGCUGGCAGGCAGGACCUCGCAAGGCAGAGACUGUCCCGGGUGUGCUCUGUGACCGUGCCUAAAAUACAGAAAUCUCCUCUUACAGCGAGUGACACCAGCUGUCAAGAGCUUUUCCUUGAGUUUUGAGGUUGUUUGUAACCAAAAGUGACGCUGCUGGCUUUAGAAAUCCCAUUUUGCUCUGUAACCAAGUGCUUGCCCACAAGCUGUCCACUCGCCCUGCUUUCUGCUGUGCCCUGAACACAGGCAGGCACCGUGGGAGAUGCUGGCGUGUUCCCUCGUCCUUCACUGGGACCAAGCAUCCUGCUGGAAGGGGCAAACUCUAGAAAAGAGUUAUCCUGGAUCAGGUCAGAGCUGUGCACUUUCACUGUGCUCACUCUGGCUCUGCUGCCUUGCUCUGUUUUCUUUUUAGGACUACUGCUACUAAUUCUGCUUUUAAAAGCACCCUCCCCAGCAAGUUCUGCUUCUGUCUGAGCGUGGUUCUGGCCUAUAAAUCUAGCCUGAAGAGAUGUCUAAUUAUUUCACUGCUGAUGCUGAGCAGCGUGGUUCUCAUUGUCCUGUAUUUUUCCUUUUUUAAACUCACCUUCACAACAUGCAUCUUUGUUUUGGAGUGAAUUGAUUGCCUUGACCCAGCUCUGGCAGAGUUAUGGCUAACUCAGCCAGCCUCUAGUUUGCAGAAGCAUCUUAAAAUCAGGCUCAUCCUGAGCCACCCUGAUACAACCACCACAAUAAGCAAAAACGAGUGGCAAAUGAUAAAUACAUUUUAAAAGAUUAAUCGAUUUCUGGCCUCUUGUUGCCUGAUCUGCUCAAGCAGUGCUAUGCAAGGAGGCUAUCUGUUUCCAGAGGUACAAAUGACUCUACCAUGCUUGGGAACACUCUGCCAGAAGGCAUCUCCUAGCUCCUGUGCUCUCUCCCUGCUAACAUGGGCAGUCACCUCAUGUAAGCGUGAUUAGCCAUUGUGCUGGAUUAUAUAGGUCACCAUGAGCAUUUUUUUUCCCCCUGUGUAAUCUAAGAACUGAAUAUGAAGCACAAGUUAAAGGAUUAAUCCUCCAUUACAUGUUGGCAUUUGGUCUAUAAAAGCAUAUUUCUUCAAGUUAGCCCUUAUACAUGGAGAUGGGUAAGGGUGACAAUCAAAAAGCAUCUCUUAGACUAGAACGAGAGAAUGUUACCAUAGGAGCAUGAGGGAAGAGAGACAUUUUUACAGCUACCUGCUUAGAUCAGAUAGAAGUUGUGUGUAAAGACGAGGCCUGGGUAAUCCCGGCAGACAGUGAGAGACCAGUCCUUAUCUCUUCAUGGAAAGGUGACGAGAGUGACAGAGUCACAGGGAUUUGUGGGGGUACGGAUGUGAAAACUGCAACCAGCUAUGGCUUUCCAGCUACAAAAGUACCUUUCUGCAGGUAGAGCAGCAGGUCUAUCGCAUUGGGAAGCUUAUCAAGUUAGCAGAAGGGCAUGUUUUCUCUCCCAUCACAGGCAGCACAAAAUGAUCUCGGCAUGGACACUGGAGUCUUAACGCUCUAUACAAAGGCACACCUUUUACAACCGAAUACAGAGGAUCUGAUGAAAUGUUAACUUUUAUAUCAAACUUGCUUUCACUAUUUGAAAAUGUAAACUGCAAAGGAGCAGUGUGCAUCAGCUAAGCAAAUAAGAAAUAAAUCUAUCAGGAAUCUUUGCUUUUUCCUGAUG